Molecule: transfer RNA, 64 nt
Organism: Cavia porcellus (domestic guinea pig)
Lineage: Eukaryota; Metazoa; Chordata; Mammalia; Rodentia; Caviidae
Rfam family: tRNA
About the family: Transfer RNA (tRNA) molecules are approximately 80 nucleotides in length. Their secondary structure includes four short double-helical elements and three loops (D, anti-codon, and T loops).
Source: Rfam
GGGGAUUUAGCUUAGCGGUAUAAGCAUUUGCCUGACAAGUAUGAGGUCGUGAGUUCAAUCCCCG